This 782-nucleotide ribosomal RNA is filed under the name Paraburkholderia sp. Its description in RNAcentral is "bacterial SSU rRNA". It matches the Rfam family "Bacterial small subunit ribosomal RNA", at positions 272 to 1045 of the family's 1533-position model. The record is from RNAcentral. Lineage: Bacteria; Pseudomonadati; Pseudomonadota; Betaproteobacteria; Burkholderiales; Burkholderiaceae.
GGCGACGAUCUGUAGCUGGUCUGAGAGGACGACCAGCCACACUGGGACUGAGACACGGCCCAGACUCAUACGGGAGGCAGCAGUGGGGAAUUUUGGACAAUGGGGGCAACCCUGAUCCAGCAAUGCCGCGUGUGUGAAGAAGGCCUUCGGGUUGUAAAGCACUUUUGUCCGGAAAGAAAACCUCGGGGCCAAUACCUCUGGGGGAUGACGGUACCGGAAGAAUAAGCACCGGCUAACUACGUGCCAGCAGCCGCGGUAAUACGUAGGGUGCAAGCGUUAAUCGGAAUUACUGGGCGUAAAGCGUGCGCAGGCGGUUCGCUAAGACCGAUGUGAAAUCCCCGGGCUUAACCUGGGAACUGCAUUGGUGACUGGCGGGCUAGAGUAUGGCAGAGGGGGGUAGAAUUCCACGUGUAGCAGUGAAAUGCGUAGAGAUGUGGAGGAAUACCGAUGGCGAAGGCAGCCCCCUGGGCCAAUACUGACGCUCAUGCACGAAAGCGUGGGGAGCAAACAGGAUUAGAUACCCUGGUAGUCCACGCCCUAAACGAUGUCAACUGGUUGUCGGGUCUUCAUUGACUUGGUAACGUAGCUAACGCGUGAAGUUGACCGCCUGGGGAGUACGGUCGCAAGAUUAAAACUCAAAGGAAUUGACGGGGACCCGCACAAGCGGUGGAUGAUGUGGAUUAAUUCGAUGCAACGCGAAAAACCUUACCUACCCUUGACAUGUAUGGAACCUGGCCGAGAGGUCGGGGUGCCCGAAAGGGAGCCAUAACACAGGUGCUGCA